Molecule: non-coding RNA, 502 nt
Organism: Arachis ipaensis
Lineage: Eukaryota; Viridiplantae; Streptophyta; Magnoliopsida; Fabales; Fabaceae
Source: RefSeq, a predicted model, not a curated record
AUUUAUUUCUAAAAACAUUAGUGAAGAUAUUUUUAAUGGUAAUUUUUAUAUUAUUUAUUAUUAAUAUAUUAUGUAAUACCCUGCAGAAAGGAGAUAUAUGGGAUACACCUACACUUUUUCUCAACCUAAUUGAUAAGACAUUUCUCUUCAUCGUUGAAGUUCAAAUAUCUGAUAAUCCACAUUUUUCACCUUCUUAUAAAGUUAAGAAGAUGACUGAUAAUCCACAUUUUUCACUUUCUAUUAAAAAUUAGUUUAUUUUUCUCUUCUUUGGUCAUUAGUAGUAUCUAAUUUUUAAAUAAUAAUUAAUAACUAAUUAUAAUUUUAGGAUGUUGACUACAUCGAUGGUUUGCUUCCAAUUUCAAAGACAUCCUCAAUCAUUGAAGGGGAAAAAGUAGAAGGUGCUAAGAAUUUGUUACUUGAAUUCUCCAAUGAAGUUGCGGACAAUGAUGAAUCCGAAGUGUUGAAAAAUGCUAUUACACCAGCCAAGCGACUAUCCUCAGAG